AUGGGCUUUUAUUUUUUAAGGGGGGAGGUCUUCAGGCAAUGGCAGCACCCCCUUUUUGCUGUCUACCAAGGAGAGCUGCAAGAGAAAGAAAGAGAGGGGAGCGAAAUUCCUGAAUGGAUAGACAGAUGCUACGUCAUCAGGGCUGCAGCCUCUACUCCACAAGAGGCUAGGAGCUGGGGGGGAGAGAAGCAGACCAGCCGUGGGGGCCUGAGAGACAGACACCUCCUCUUCACAGGAACUGGGGGACCAACACCCAGAUGAAGCAACCAUAUUUGUUUCUGGUACCAUUGUAGGCGGCUCUCCAGCUGGGGCUUCGGACACCCCCCUGCGACCCCCCAGCCUCCGAAUUACAUGCCCGGUGUUGGGGGUGGGGCAUAGAGAAGGAGGGUUGGAGAACCCGACGCUGCAGAAGAGAAGCCAUCGACAGGAGAGGGAGCACAGAGUAAGUGGUCUUUCCGGGCGCAGGGUGGACUCAGGGGACACACUAGGGAAGGGCGGCCAGAGGUGAGGAACCUCUCAGUUCCCGGCGGCCCUCUGACCGGCAUCAAUCCCGUUCAACUCCUUUUUAUUUAGGUCCUUGUGUCCCGCAACCGUCCACACGUGGCUUUGGUGAGGGAUUGCAAUCAUAUAGGUGAAACCUAUUUUUCGGAUUCUCUCGUUGCCCUGGAGGCGAGGUCCUUAAUCCCCACUAUAUCUGCAGCUGCCUCUUACCUUUUAGUUUAGUGCCGAAUCUUUUCGGCCUUCCGCCCAUCCCUAUCUCCCCCGACCUCUCCCGCUUCUCCACCAGCCACAUCAUCCCGAUUCCGAUAAUUACGAUUUCCUUGUUCUCAUCUCCAUUCCCUGUCUACUCCUUCCCCACCAUAUCCUUAUUCCUGUUUUUGCCAUUCAAAUCUACAAACAUUUAUUAUAGACUUACUAUAUACGGGAUUUAUAGUAGAUAACAUCCUCGUCCUCGUCCGCACUAUCCUUAUUCCUGUCUCCCCGUUUCCCCCCCCCCCCCGCAUUAGUCCCAACCCCAGAAUCUCUGAUUUCGGCCCCAUCCCCACCAUCGCAAGUCAUCAACCUUUCCAGUUUCCAUUCCCGAUUCUUUGACCUCUCGAGCCUGCCUCUGCCUCGCUGGGAUUCAGAAUCUCCCUCUGAUUCCUCUGCAUGUGUGAGGGAAGGGUGGAAGCAAUCCCUGGUGUUUUAUUCUUUCCUCUACAGUCCUUAACGCAAAGCUGGGCUUUAGGGCUCCGCUCAGAAUCGGAAUUCCCGCCUCGUUGGACUAAUGGUACUACACUGGGUCCUCACUAGAGCUGAGAUUUCGGUCUUCGCUUCUAACCGAGGCAAAGGGGCAGGUUUCCAAGGCCACCCCUUUUUUUCAGGGGAGAAGGAGAGGAGGGAGCCGGCAUCGUGGGGACCUGUCCGUCGUGGGUCCUUCAUUCAACCUGCCUGAUAAAUCGAAAUAUCAAGCCGGCACUCGUGAGCUCCUCGCUUCUUCGAGCCAGAUUCAUUCCUGGCUCGAGAUUGAGAUCAUAGAAACCUAAGAUCAGGAGCUGAAAGGGCCCUUUGAGAUCCUCUAGCUCAAUUCAUUAUUUUUACAGAAGAGGAAACUGGGAUUGGGGAUGAGAGUGGACGAAGGACUGCGAGAUGGACCAGAACUGGGUAGGGCUUUGUCGUAUCUCGUUCCCCUUUCUUUUUCCCCCUUCCUUCAUAUCAUCCUCCCUCCACCCCCUCCACCUCUCCACCCAGGGUCGGGAACCAUCCGAACCCGGAGGAUGCCCGGAAGUAGUGGUGGCGGUGGAGCCCAGGGGUCUGCUUGGAGGUGGCGGUGGCGUUGACAGCGGCUGCAGCAGGGAGGCGGGGUUGAUUGUUAUCUUUGGUUAUCUAGCUGUAUGAGUGGUGUCGAGUCUUCAUAAAGCUAGAUAACCGAAAGUAAAAAUAACCCCAUACACUGCGGAGCACGAGCCCGAGGGAAGGCGGGCCGGAGCUAGGCGCCCCCGAGCUGAUCCUGGGAAAUGGGGAAAGGGAGGAGAUGGAAGGGAGGGAAACCGAAGCAAGAGCCAAGAGACCAAAAAGGAAAAUCAGAAGGAAAAGAAGAGGAAGAAAAGACGUCUUACUUCUAGUGGGACUUCCGAGAUGGCAGCCACUCAGUCCCCCCCUCCCCAUCUCCAAGCUUCCUAUUUGAUUUGGUCUUGGCAUUCCUCUUCCUUCUCUUCAUUCUGCAGCACAACUCAGCACGUUUGAUAUUGGUAUUCAGCACAUUGGACAGCGCCAGGAUGGAGAGAAGGUGAUAUUGGAUGCCCGUAUUGUGGACUGAGGAUGGACUAGGAAGGACAGUAAGGGGCAUGGGAUAAGCAGAAGUGAAGACAAAGAUGACUCUGAAGUUUCAAGCCAAAAUUCUUCAAAAAGUAAGAAUCAUCCCUGUAACAAAGAUUUUAAAAGGAAGAAGAGGAAUAAAAAUCAGUUAAUCAAAGCCAGCCUUCACAUCUGUUCUGACAUUAUGUGCAAUACUCCAUAUCCAUGGUAUUCUACUUCUACAAAAAAAAGGGAACAGAACAAUAAGAGGACUUAAAGGACAAGGGGCCAAUAGCAUACAGAGGGAGAAGCCUUAACACAAUUGGCCUCCAUGUACCUGAAGCAGCCUUCCAGGAUUGACUGGAGGACAGAUAACGCCAGCUACUAAUCCCAGGGAGAGAGAAAGUGAAGAGAUCUUCCUGUCACCCUCUCCACUGAUAUCCACCCUCCUCCAGGAAGUUUGUCAGGAUUCAUAGAGCAUCAGCCCUUGAAUUGCCUGGUUCCUGUCCGGGAUAAAAGUAUUUGACCUUCAUGUAUACUUAUUGUGUAUCUAAGUUAUAUUUUAAUAUAUUUAACAUCUACUGGUCAUCCUGCCAUCUAGG
Sarcophilus harrisii (Tasmanian devil) is the source of this 2879-nucleotide RNA transcript. It is a transcript of the gene named chromosome 4 C1orf61 homolog, with no coding region annotated. The record is from RefSeq and is a predicted model, not a curated record. Lineage: Eukaryota; Metazoa; Chordata; Mammalia; Dasyuromorphia; Dasyuridae. The transcript is spliced from 7 exons.